UGGCUCAGAUUGAACGCUGGCGGCAGGCCUAACACAUGCAAGUCGAACGGUAACAGGAAGCAGCUUGCUGCUUUGCUGACGAGUGGCGGACGGGUGAGUAAUGUCUGGGAAACUGCCUGAUGGAGGGGGAUAACUACUGGAAACGGUGGCUAAUACCGCAUAACGUCGCAAGACCAAAGAGGGGGACCUUCGGGCCUCUUGCCAUCAGAUGUGCCCAGAUGGGAUUAGCUAGUUGGUGAGGUAACGGCUCACCAAGGCGACGAUCCCUAGCUGGUCUGAGAGGAUGACCAGCCACACUGGAACUGAGACACGGUCCAGACUCCUACGGGAGGCAGCAGUGGGGAAUAUUGCACAAUGGGCGCAAGCCUGAUGCAGCCAUGCCGCGUGUAUGAAGAAGGCCUUCGGGUUGUAAAGUACUUUCAGCGGGGAGGAAGGUGUUGUGGUUAAUAACCGCAGCAAUUGACGUUACCCGCAGAAGAAGCACCGGCUAACUCCGUGCCAGCAGCCGCGGUAAUACGGAGGGUGCAAGCGUUAAUCGGAAUUACUGGGCGUAAAGCGCACGCAGGCGGUCUGUCAAGUCGGAUGUGAAAUCCCCGGGCUCAACCUGGGAACUGCAUUCGAAACUGGCAGGCUUGAGUCUUGUAGAGGGGGGUAGAAUUCCAGGUGUAGCGGUGAAAUGCGUAGAGAUCUGGAGGAAUACCGGUGGCGAAGGCGGCCCCCUGGACAAAGACUGACGCUCAGGUGCGAAAGCGUGGGGAGCAAACAGGAUUAGAUACCCUGGUAGUCCACGCCGUAAACGAUGUCUACUUGGAGGCUGUGCCCUUGAGGCGUGGCUUCCGGAGCUAACGCGUUAAGUAGACCGCCUGGGGAGUACGGCCGCAAGGUUAAAACUCAAAUGAAUUGACGGGGGCCCGCACAAGCGGUGGAGCAUGUGGUUUAAUUCGAUGCAACGCGAAGAACCUUACCUGGUCUUGACAUCCACAGAAGUUUGCAGAGAUGCGAAUGUGCCUUCGGGAACUGUGAGACAGGUGCUGCAUGGCUGUCGUCAGCUCGUGUUGUGAAAUGUUGGGUUAAGUCCCGCAACGAGCGCAAC
Molecule: ribosomal RNA, 1093 nt
Filed under: Salmonella enterica
Lineage: Bacteria; Pseudomonadati; Pseudomonadota; Gammaproteobacteria; Enterobacterales; Enterobacteriaceae
Also listed under: 2 other names
Description: bacterial SSU rRNA
Rfam family: Bacterial small subunit ribosomal RNA
Source: RNAcentral